UACAAUUGAGGAAAAAAAACUUUCCAAUGUAUGUGGAAGAAGCAGCCACAAUAACAUACUUAGAUGUUGUGGAAAAACCUAGCUGGUCUGUAAUCUCCUUUGUUUCCAAGAUUACCUGACGCAAAGGUAAUAAGCACACAUUUACAAGGUGGUCAUAAAAGCAGUAACCUCCUAUGAUGCCCAAUGAACUGCCAAGAGCGGUUCCUCCAACAUCGUCUGUCAGCUCUUGACCAUCACAGAAGCGAUAGAGAAGCCUUGUUGGAAGAGGCAAUUUCACUUUCAAAAUGUUCUCCAACGCUUCAAUUUCAACUUCUGUUGCACCCUUUCGUAGUGUAGCAUCAGCCUCCGGGAAAUUUGCACUCAACCAGUUUUUAAGUCUAUCCCAACAUCUUUUCACCCGUUUGACAAGGGGCCAUGGGUACAUACCAAAAGAUUCCCGCCAUAGUCGAUAAGUUUCCUGGAGAAACAGGUCAUUUGAUAAGCUUCUGGGUAAUAUUCAAAAAGUAAUAGUAUUAGUUAGAUGAAUCAGAAUUGUAUGAUUACAUAUCAAAAGAAUAAAAUAAGUAAAAAAGAUGACUGGUCCAGCUGCAACUUAGGCCGGUUAUCAGUUUGAACCAUGUAACAAAUGGACAAAAUCCAGGAACAUAAAAAACAUGAUUGUUAGGCUGCAAGUUCCUUAGGGGCCAGCCCAAUGUACAUUUAUCAGGCCCAUACCUGGCUGAACCAACACAGCCUGCAUUCCUGGGCCCACACCUCCAAGACCUAACACAUAAAGUUAGGAUCUUGUAUCCUAACUGUUUUUUUUUUCUUUUUUCUAAGUUUUACAUAAAGUUACAUGAUGACAUAUAAUAAUCAAAAAACCAAAAAAAAAAAGAGAUUAAACACCAAAUACAAGAAAAUAUAUAAAGGCAAACAGCUAACAUGACUAAGGAUCCCUUACAAGACCAAAAAAAAAGAGAGAGAAUUCAGAUCCCACCUCCCAACUGGAGAUCCAGAAGAAAUAAACUCCACAACAUAUCUUUUAGAUUACAAAAAACGAACUAAUAACAUAAAUGUAGGCCAUAUUCCAUCAUCUAUGUAACAUGUAGAUAGGAAGUUGAACCUUGCAAAUGUGCAUAUUCAGGACUGGUCCAAGCUGCUUUUAAUAGAAGUAGACUAUAUUCCUUCAUUCAUGUUACAUCACAUGCACCUAGGAAGUUCAACCUUGUAAAUAUGCAUAAGCAGGACUGAUCCAAGGUGCUCUUGAUAGACCUCAACACAUAAUAAAUAUGCAUAUUCAGGAGGUUGAGCAUUACUUGAUGACUCUUCCUGUUCAAAAUACCAAGCUAAAAAUCAAAAUGAAUGAGCUUGUUUAGUUUACCAUUUUCCAGACUUUUCUUACAUGAAAAGAAAAAUGCAAUAAAGCACCACUUUUCUGGAUUUCCCAACUGAUUAAAAGAUUGCACCAAUGCUCAGAUAUUCCAUUCAUUGGCAGUGGUUAUUUUUGGCCAUCUGCAUUUUCACAUCUAAGAAAGCAUUACUUACCAAAGGAACAUAAACAUGAUCAUUCACUAUUUCUAGCAUUCUUAAUGAGAAAUCUUACUUACAAAAAAAAAAAUUAAUCUGGGAAAAAAGGCACUCCAGUGUGGGAGUUUCUUAUAGACUUGAGUUAUGCAUCAGGAGAAAUGAUCUUACAUGAAAUUCCCAUUUUACAUUCACUCAGCUAGCAUCCCAGAUGGAAGCUUAUAUUUUGAUAAAGACUCUGAUCAUGUGCAGAAUCUCUUAAGUCUGUGUGUGUGUGUCUGUGUGUAGGGGCAAUUUCUUAACUGCAUAUAUUUUUCUUAUAAAUAAGGACUUAAUUUUCAUAUUAACAUGUAACACCAUUUCAAUCUUUGAAACCAUAACUCAUAUAAGCUACUCAAGUAAAUGCAACUAUGACUUUUCAAGAGCAAAACAAGACAUGGAGACUGUUUUCUCAUCAGGCUUCCAUCAUUUGGCAUAGAAGAUCUCCAUUUAACAAAAAAUGGUAAGUGUGAAACAUAGGGAAAUGUCAAACUUUUCAGUAUACCAUAUUGCAAACUUGGUACACAAAAUUUCACAGGAAAAAAAGAAAAAGAAUUCAUGGUCCUAAAUUCCAAUACCUAAAAAUACACACAUCCAAAUUACAUAUAAUUCAACUAUUUACUCUGCAGAAAUUACAUUCAUAACUUCUGUCGCCUCACCCGUUAUGCAAAAAACCCAGAAUUGAUGUAUUUACUGAUUAUACAAUCUAAUGACGAAUUGAGCAAUCCAAGACACUUUCACCAUAAAUGCAUGUGUUUGUGAAGGAAAAUGACUCAAAUUCAUAGAAGUCAAAGCAUAUGAAAGAAAAAUGAGAAAGCUACAUAUAAGACAAACGACAAGAAGUCUCAAACAUCAUAUCAGUACGAUAAUCUGAACCGAAAUUGAAUCGACCAUAAAGGUAACCAAAGUAGAAGACCACAGAUUAGCGAUAAGUAGGAAAUUAGCCAAAAUAAAAAAAAAACACUUCAACAGCAUGAGUUGAAUCUGAAGCAAAUAUAAAGAGAAACAAAGCAGACAAUCACGAUAAUUCUGAAAAUUUGAAACAAGUCACUGCAAUAGUAUGGACUGAAACUGCAGAAACUGCAGAGGAAAUAAAGCACACAAUCAGAUUUUAAAAAAAAAAUUGAGGAAAAUCGAAAAAAAGAAUUCGAAAAAAUUAGAAAAAUAACCUUGAAAGAAGGAGCGGGUUUUCCGAGAGGAUCGAUAGGGGCAGAGAGUCCGAGAUCUUGAGAGCAGUGGUUGAGCCAAAGAGACUCUUCGGAUGCAGAAACCCUAAGCUUUUUGCUGACACAAGACACCGCUACAGUGUCUUUGGUGUCCAAUUUGGAUAUAAUUGCAUUGAUAGCCAAGUCGCCCAAGUCCUCCAACCCCAUUUCCAUGGCGCUUUCUAUCUCCAGUUUCUCACUCUACUUUCUCGCGCUGGUUUGUUUGGUGAGAAAGUUAGUGGUGUGUAAUAUACUACAGCCUAAGGACGAAGUUACGAACGCGAUCAAUCCAAGGGCGUGUUUGGGAAGACGUCGCUUUUGUGGUUUUAACAAACGGAGAAAAUGGACAUCCCUUUAAUAAGUUUGGGACAAGUGUGCUUCCUUAUUAACAAAAUGGUAACUCAUCUUUGCACAUUUCAAAGCUUUUAAUUACUAUCAAAAUAUACUAACUACAUUUGGUUGGCCGGAUAGAAUAGACAUUUCCAUAGGAUAUUAUAUCCGAUGUAACAUAUCUUUAGUUUGUGAAAUAAAUAAAGGAAGAUAAUAUGAAAUAAAUAUUAUUAAUCAAUUUGAAAAUUAAAAAAUUAUAUUACAUUCCAAAAUUUUUUAUUUUAAAAAGAAAAUUUCCUUACCUUUAACAAUAGUCAAGAUUAAAAUAUUUAAACUUUAUAAAUAUUUUUUUUAUCAAUAUUAUUUUAUAAAAAAAAUUAGUUCUUAUUUUUUAACCACAAAUUUAAUUUUAUAUAAUUUUAUAAUUUUAUUUAUCAAAAUAAGUAAUAUAAAAAAAUAAAUUUAUGAUAUAUAACAUAUGCAUAUUCUACAUUUAACUUAAAAUUAACAUAUCUUAUGUAGAUGGAAUAUUAAAUAUGCAGUAUUUAGAAAUUAUUGUUGUUUUCAAAACCUAAAAAGAGCUUUUUAUUUUUUCGCCAAAAAAAAAAAAUCUCAUUUCAUGCAUUAGUAUAGUGUCCUCCCCGUAUUGGUCGAAAAUACCCUUGGAGUGCCUUUUUGAGUGGCACCCAUACCAGCUAACAAGGCAAUGGCACAGUAGCCUCCUUUAAUUUGACUUUUAAAUCAUCACUUAACCAGCUUAUAACCAAUAAUAAAACAUAAAUUAAAAAUUUAUUGAAAUGUAAUUUCCCUAUUGAGAUUAAAAGAAUACAUGUGAUGACUUAACCUAGGUUUUAAACAUAUGUAAUUCUCAUAACCUAAAUUACACAUACAUUAAAAUAAAAACUUAAAUGAGUAAAUAUAGUAAUUAAAUCUUAGCCGCGGAGAUUUCUCUAGUGGAGCCCUAACCCAAUGUGUUCGAGAGUUUGACCUACCCAUUUCUCCAUCUAUGUGUGAGAUUCGUUGGUUGCAAUGUAGAUAUCAUGUUGACGGGAAGGAAGUGGCAAACCACCCCCACACCCCUUAAAAUCUAUGGUUGUUCUUAUUGAGAUAAGUCGCAACCUUACUCUUGUUUGAAGCAGAAGGUACCCUCUUUUUUUGUUCUUUGUGUCAAGAAUUAAGGUUCUUUGGUUUUAAUUAGUUAUAUAGUUACUGAAUUAUUAAUUUUUUGAAGCCUUAUUAUUUUGAUUUAGAUGAAUUCAUUUAACACAAUGUCUUAUUUGAAAUAAUAUUUUACCCAUUCAUUUGGGUAUAGUCAAAAUUCAUUUAAAAAAUUUAUCCAUGUGAUCAAUCUUAUUAUCUAGGUAAUUUACAAAAAUUCACCUCAUAUUAUCACUCAAAGCGAUUGUGAUUCUAGAAAAUGUUUUUAACAUUUCGAAUACUUGAAAAUUUUUAUCAUUCAAGUCUUAAAAAUGCUAAAAACAUUUCUUAAAAUCACUGUCAAACAUACUCCUAAUUUUAUUCUUAAUUUUUUUUUUAAACAAUGUUAAUCAUAAUAAAAUAUAUCACUUUCUUAAAUUAUCCCCUUCACUGCCCACACACAAAUUAGAUAUUUUCAUAUGAAUUUCCCAAUCCAAUUUUUGACCAAAGUUCUUAACAAAAUGAGAUAUUCAAUUAUGUGAGAAAAUAUAAUGAUCCUAGUAUUAAUUUAAAUUAACAUUAUAAUUUUUGUUCAAAAACCCAAAAAAAAAAAAAUGUUUUCAAAAGUAGUUUUGAAACACCAAACAAGUCCUACAUAGCUCUUGUCAUCUCUAGUUCAAAACAAAAACUUGUUUUUAAGAUCAAAUUCCAAGUACUAAAUUAAUCUUAUAUUAUUUUUGUUUUGAUGUUGAAAAUAUCUUUAUAUCAAUUUGGCUAAUUUAGUUCAAAGAAUCUAAUUUUAAUUUUAAAAAAAUUAAAAAAUAUAUUAUUUGUUUAUAAUAAUUAUUUUUAUAUUUAAUGAAAGUUUUAUAAUAUUAAUAUUACCCUCUUUGGCAUAAAGCUAGUGAGAGGCCUACCAACCAAUCCUUUGCCGAGUGAAGCUUAUUUCCCAAUCCAAGCCCACCCGCUUCAACAAGCAAACAUAGAUUCUCAAAUAAAACCACACCCAUAUAGGCGUUUUGAUUAACCCAAAAUUCAACACUACAAGUCUACACCCACAAAACUAAAAGAAAGCCAAAUUAAAAAUUGAAGGAAAAAAAAAAAUAGAAAACAUAUUGAAAGAGGCCCUUUUUACAUUCUCCCAGAACAGUCAGCUUUUCCUUUUUCUUUUUCUUUUUUCUCUUUUGGGUUUCUCCUCCAUGAGAAACUGCAGAGGGUUAAAGUCUCGGAGACGCGGCCAUUUCAACCCAAGAAAACAAAGCUAUUUGCGAUUGAAUUUCUUCUUGUUAAAGGCUAAUCAGCAACCAACCUAUCGCCAUUUUUUGGUCCAAGAAUUGCAUCCAUUUGACGGGGUAAAAAGCCGCAGGCUUCCUACACAUAGAGGAAAAAAAUGAAUAGUCGUCAGACAAAUACAAACAAUUUUUUUUUUUUUUCAAUACAAUUUAUAGAAUGGUGGCUUUCAAAAGGAUACCAAAAUUUGUGUUCUAUUUUUCUUUUGUUCUUCCGCAUUUGGUUCUUCAACAAUUGUAAUGACACAAUCAUAGCAAACCCAUUUAAAUGAAUGAAUUUCAUUCAAAAAACUUAUAAAAACAUUUCAUUAGUAAACACUAUAAAUGAUUUUUUCAGCUUUCUAAGAAUAUUAAAAUUAGAAAAACUAAAAAUAAAAAUAAAAAGCCUUUGCUUCUAACCCUUUCCGAAUCCCUUCCAAACACACUACUUUUAGUAUAUGAGUUGAAACUUGAAAAAUAAAUAAAUAAAAAUCAUAAUUUGAUUAAAGAUCCAUUUUCUCAUAUAUAUAUAUAUAUAUUAAAAGGUUAUUUAUUUUUUUAACUUUUUAUUGAAAGCAAUUUAAUUUUAAGUUUUUUAUUUUUUCAUUUUUUCAUAAUUUAUUAUAAACUUUUUACUAAAUAAAAAAACUAAAAUAUUUAGCUUUUUAUAAAUAAUAAAAAAUAAUAUAUUGAUUUUUUUUAACUUUUUAAUACUUAAUAAAAAUAAAAUAUUACAAAAACAAACUUAAUACUUAACACUGUUAAGUACUACUUAAUUUUAAGUUAUAUUUAAAAUUAAUUUUAAAAAAACAAUUACCACCUAAUUUAUCCGAAAUUACAAAAGAAUCAUACUUACAUGAAAUUUGGUUAGCAAUUUAAGUUGGAAAACUAGAAAAGAUUAGUUCAAUUGCAUUCAACACAACAUAAAUAAAAAUUUUAAAUCACAAAAUAGCCUAAUCAUCCAAAUUUAGGGUCACAAAACAUUUCAUUCAUUAAGUACUAAAAUUAUUAUUAACCCAUAAAUGUCUCUAUUAAAAAAAUAGCUUAUAGGUUAAAAAUUAAAGAUAAUUUUAUAGAAUAAAAAAUUACGAUCUAUUUGAUAAUUGCUUCCAAAAACUUACAGAGAAAUGUGUAAUAGCAAUUGGUGCCUUACAGAGAAAACAUGCAAAAGUAUCUGAUCACUAGGGGAAGAGCCAAACCUAAAACAAAGGUUAAAGAUGGGGUAGAUGGAUUGAGAUGCUGCACCCAAUGCUACAUAUGCUCCUUCAUUUCUGUCAAAAAGUUCACUCCUGAGUACUUCUUUCUCGGUCUUUUGGCCCAAGUAUUUAGCAGCACUGCUAACUCAUGGGUUAGUAAAGAAAGAAGCUAAGCGUGGAAAUUCAUUCAAGAAAACCGGCGCUGAUCAUACAAAUAAACAAGAAGUAGCGUCUUGCAGAUAUUUCAUGCUGGUGACCUUCUAACCGUCAAUGUGGUCUCACAAAUGCAAAAUAAGUUCAACACGAAUUAACAAUGGGAGGACAACAAAGCACUGGAAUGCGGCUGGUAUUCAAGAGAUUUACCCUAUUGAAUGUUUACAUCAGAAAAUGUAGUCUGGACACUGGAGAGGAAACCGGCCCACUUCAACCUCAAAUGCACUGCCUUUUGGGUCUGCCAAUCUGAAAAACAAAUAGGAAAAAGGUAACGCAUCAAUAAAAUGCAUUUUUGUAUGCAAAUGGUGCUACGACCUCAUUGUAACAUAUCCAACAACAAAAUUUUCUUUAAAUUUAAAGUACAGCUGACGGGAGAAUUAGUCCACAGGGUCUCUGCAGAAGGCACCCUAAAAUACCAUUCCCAGGCUGGUCAACAGAUUGGAUUCUGAUUGAUCGAAGUAGACAAACUAAAAUAUUCACAAACAGGAUAAAUUGUACUAGUAAACAUGGAUCCUUCAAACUAUGAUUCAUGUCAAAUUUCAGAUCUAAAAAGAUGCUCAAAUUCAAUUUAUGUGAUAGAUCAUAUUGGGAAACAUACAUGGAGAGACUGAAUGCAUGAACUGUAAUCAUUAGGCACAAACAACUUAGGAACAAAAAAUGAAUCAAUUUCUAAUUUGGACGAAAUUAUAACUAAAUCAACCCAAUUUAUUGACAGGCUCAUAUAGAGCACAAUAAGAAGAAAAGAAAAAGCUUUUAUUUCCUUUUUCCUUCUUUUCUUUUCUUUUUUUGGGGGGCAGCGGGCGGAGAUGGGAGGUGCUAAGAGUUCAUUAUCCAUAUUGAGAUUUCAUCAAAAUAUUUAAUCCACAUGGACUUCAAUUAGUUUAAUUAGUUUAGUAGUCAAUAUUAGUAAGUAACAAGAGUAGCAAAUUACAGUAGCAGUACAACUCAUACUACUCCUAACAGCAAAUGAUCCAUGUAGAACUUCAAUUAGUUUAUUAACUAGUUAGAUUCAACAAUAGUAGGUUUUAAGCACCUUUCUAAGCAGAUACUGUCAUGGUAUAUCGUUUACAAGCUUGUAGCAAUAUCGUUUGUACUACUCUAGCAGUAAAUUAUUAAGGAUUUUAGCAUUAUCUCAAUCUGUUCCCUCUCUUCCCCCCUCCCAACCUCCUAGGGCACCUCCCUGUACAGCAAGAAAGGUGUCUCCAAAAAUACUACCAUUAGACUGGAAAUGACAAAAGCUUCCUCCUUGUCCCUCCUAAGGCAUUAGGCUCCCUGUACAGCAAGAUGGGUGUCUCUUACAAUGAUGCAAAGAAUGGAACCAUGACAACAAAAACGACCUUGGAAAAUUUGUGGACUAUGAAGAAGAGACACAUUGGUAUCAUUGAACUUCCUAAAGAAGCUGCUUCUAUUAAUUCAAAUUUCCUUUGGGCCAACAAAGAUAUCUAACUUGUGUAGAUACUUAUCUUAUGCCUCUGUUCUCCAAACUUGUACAAUCAUGUCCAGCACUGCACCUGCACAGUACCCAAUGCCACACCCACCAAAACAAAAAAAAUUCUUGGCUCCACCCCUGAACAAACUGAACCCUGCCCUUGUCCUCUUCUACAGUAAGAACUGGAAAAUCAUAUUAAGACAAUCAUUGCCACCAAGCAGUAGCCUUGUCAGCAUGAUAUCAUCUAUUACCUUGCAGGCCUUCUACAAGCAGGAAAAAAGAAUUUAAAAACUAGGUCAAAGGAUGGUCAGGUCAGACUGUGCCCACAGUGGAAAUAGAGCACCAGCAAAAACUUGACAUAUUCAACUUAACCCAAAGAAGCCUUAAUCUAUUCAAUCCUUGGUAAUGGUAUCUUGUCUCAUUGUCCCUACUAUUCCCUCUGGCCUCCUAUUCAUCCUCAAUAAAUCGAAAGAUUCUCUCUAGCUCAUGUUUAAUUCCCUUUGUUUUGGAAGUAAUUCUUUUUCUUUACCUGUUUCUUCCUCAACUUUCCCCCCUUUCCGCUGCUGAGGUUUCUUGCAAUUUCCGAGUAAUGUGCAACAAUAUUCUGUGUAGUAGACAAGGUCACAUUGGUAACAAAUACAAGCAUAGUAAAGACUUUAGCCAUUAGAAUUUGUCAAUUCUGAGACAAGGUACUUAUUAGGUCAAAUAAGUACAAUAGAUCCAGACUAAUGUCAACCUAACCACUUCCGUGAAUAAAAUGUCAUUGUUUUUAAUAGAAUGGCUUGAAGAUAUACGCCACUUCAAAUUUGGCAUAUCACCCUGGUUGGUAAAGAAAUUAUCUAUAUCAUUCCACAUUUUCUCUCUAGGCACUUGGGGGGAAAUGAACAGAAGAAUGUGAGGAUCACCCAAUCAGUUCUCAUUUAGGCCAGGAUAGAGGCUAUCUGUCUGCCUUAAUACUCUACUGAUUAAUAUUUGAGAAUAAUUAUUGCAAACAAAUUAGAUUCCGCUGAUAACUUAAGCACCAUUAAUCUGUUAUAGCUGUAUGCUGCUUUGACCCAUUUCAAGCAGCUCAGGUUUGGUGAUUUAUCCCGUUAAAGAUAAAGAGUCAAGUUCAUAAAAGAGGACUUGUGAGGUUUAAUGUGGACUACCUGCCAGGAACAAAUGUGAAAGCACCUUCAAUUGAACCUCGGGAUGAUGAUAGAUGGGUGCAACUUUCAUAAACAAAUUCUUCCCCCCCAGGAUACAAGAGUGGAUACUGCAAAUACAAGAGAAGAGAGGUUAAAAUUUCAGUUGUUUGUUUAAAAGGAAUAAGUUUAAGGAUCCAAAUACUUAUUAAAAUAAAUUACGGCCUCUUCAAUCUCAGAUCAUGAAAACGAAAAAACUCUGGUGAGAACAUCAGAAAGCUUGUGGUCUUUAGUACUUUAAAAACCAUAGUCAAGAAUUAUGUAAAAGAAAAUGACCCCAUUCCACCUCAAUGACAUGCACAGUUCACUGCAGCUAAUCAAGGAAUUCAACUUGCAAGUUCCCCUGAUUUGCAUCAGAAGGCAACCACCAGAAAUAAUUGAGUUAACAAAUUAUCCUAAUUAAGAAAUUUUUGCUUCACAACAAAAACAACCUUACAAAUUCUAAUAUCUGAGCAGAAAGAAGACAGUUCAGAGUUUCAGUCAGGGACCAUUUAAGGAUCAAAUGAUCAUUGAUGAGUCCAAAGUUGGCGCAUGAACAGAGACUCUAUCAAGUUUACCAUAGGGUCAUAGAUUUUUUUUUUUUUUUUUUUUUUUUUUUAUAAGCAAGUGAGAGUAAUGUAUUACGAAAAAGGCACUAAAAUAGUGACUUAGGAUGUACAAGAAAGAGAGACUCUCCCCCUUAUAGUUGAAACAAAAACUGACCAGACAAGAUGUACAAAAAACAACCCCUCCCUCACCGGGAACCCACUCAAGCAAUGAAAUCAUUAGCGUCGACGACCAUCUUUUAUAAACAAUUUAGACUCCAACCAAAGCAAAUAUACAAAAAAAAGCUUUCAGCUCUUGCAAGGACAGCACACCAUUAUCAAAGGCAAUCUUGUUCCUUGUCUUCCAAACUGACCAAAACAAGCAUAAAGGGCCGCAUUCCAAACUGCCCUAUGCUUCUUACCCACAAAAGCCCCUUUCCACCCUAAGAGGGUUUCCUUAACCGAGGAAGGAAACACCUAAUGCACUCCAAACAGAGUAAAGAACAACUUCCACACUUCCCUUGUUUUUUUGCAAUGGAGAAAAAGAUGGUCAAUGGACUCCUCAUGCGCUAGGCACAAAUAACUUUUAUUUGCUAGCCCACCCCCUCUUCUAAACUUGGUCCAAGGUUAAAACUUUUCCCCAUGUCACUUCCCAAGCAAAGAAACUUACUUUCGGUUGCACACUUGAGUUCCAUAUUAUCUUCAUUGGGAAGCACCCUGUUCAUUCCAUCUCUAAGGCUUUAUAAAGAGUCUUUACCGAAAACGUGUCAUCCUUUGAUCCCUCCACCUCACCUUAUCCUCCAUAAUCACACUCUUCCCACUCAAACAUGUUAGAUAGUGUACAAUUAUUUCAGUUAUUUACUUUUCCUUUUUUUCCUUAUUGUAUUGUGGGUCCCACUAGCAUGUAUAUAUAUACCCAAGUCCAAUGUGUAUUAUUAAUAGUGUUUAAUAACAAAAAUUAGGGAUUCUCCCUUUUCUCUCUUUUCACAUGGUAUCAGAACCUAGGGAGAAAAACCUAAUUAUUUUUGGUUUAUCCGUGAAUCAAUUAUGGGAAACCUUUCAGUGACCGUGUUUCAUUCCGGUCACUUUCCCCAUCUCCUAAAGCUUUCCGAUCAACCGUAUCGCUGUCAGAAAACCCUCACCGCCGGAGACUUUUCCGACGACUUUUUCCGGCUAAGUCCUUUUCCAACACCGACCAUACUAUCAGGUGCGCAAGGAAGAGAUCUUCAAGUUUUGUCAAAGCACCGGAGGGAGAAUCUCAGUCACGCGCCGGCCACGCCCGUUUCUUCUCCGACGGCCUGAACCUCACGCGUCGACGCGUGAGGGCGCGUAGAGCACUUUCCGGCAACGCGCUUCCACCUCCAGCCUCGCCUGACGCCGUCUAGCCACUUUCCAUCUGUGCUUGUGCCAUUCGAGCCAUGCAAGUGCAUUUUUUGGGGUUUUUUUGGUCUCCGCCAGCCCUCUAAAUAGUCUUUCCGAUGACUUCCUUUCCACCCCAAGCCUUGCACGUGUCUUAGGAACCGCGAUCUGAAGCCGUAUUAGGGCUCUCUUUGAUCCAAACAUAUUUCGUUCUCCAGAUAAGUAGAUAUGGCUACUAAAAGUUCCAUUUUUUCCUCUAUUAUAUCUGGAUCUCCUAUGAUUACUUUGGAGAAAUUGGUUGGCAGUGAAAAUUAUUUGUCCUGGUCUGCCUUUGUGGAGCUUUGGUUUACGGGUCAAGGUUAUGAGGAUCACCUUGUUACGCAGGAGGCGGAUAUCCCUGAGGUUGACAGAGUACAAUGGAGGAAGAUAGAUGCACAGUUAUGUAGUGUGUUAUGACAAUCAGUUGAUCCUAAGAUUCUGCUUCAUCUUCAGACCUACAAAACAUGCUUUAAAUUUUGGAAUCAGGCGAAAGGGCUAUACACGAAUGAUAUCCAACGUCUUUAUAAGGUGGCUUCUUCUAUUGUCAAUUUCAGACAACAAGACAUGGAUUUAUCUACUUAUAUUGGUCAGAUUGCCUCUUUUAAGGAGGAAUUCUUGACUGUGAUGCCUCUUACUACUGAUGUUGAGGAUCAACGAACACAGAUUGACAAGUUCUUCAUGGUUCUUACGCUUAUUGGCCUCCGUCCAGAUCUUGAGACCAUCUGCGAUCAGAUUCUUGGCAGUUUCUCCGUUCCAUCCUUGGAUGAUGUGUUUGCUCGCUUCCUCCGUAUCUCCUCCACUCAAACUUUGCCAUCUGAUAACACUUCAGAUUCUUCUAUGUUAGUUUCUCAAACUACCUCUCAAGGAGGACGCAGUGGUAAUCGAGGUAAAGCCAACGUCCUCAUUGCACCUAUUGCAAUAAGCUUGGCCACACUAGUGAUCGGUGUUAUCAGUUACAUGGGCGGCCUCCCCGCACUGCCCACGUGGCCCAGUCAUCUGAUCCUCAACCACCUCAGCCUCCAAGCUCCUCCACAUCUCAAGGUAUUUCCCUCACUGACAGUGAGUAUGAUGACUAUCUCUGCUAUCAAGCCACCAAGUCAGCUUCUGUUGCUUCUGUUGCCCAGACCGGUAAUGCUUCUGUUUGUCGUACCCACACAUCUUCUCUUGGACCUUGGAUUCUAGAUUCUGGCGCUUCUGAUCACAUAUCUGGUAAUAAGGAUCCUUUCUCUUCUAUUACUACUACCUCUGCCUUACCUACUAUUACCUUAACUAAUGGUUCUCAAACUGUGGCUAAAGGCAUUGGUUUGGCACAUCCUCUCCUUUCUCUACUUCUCACUUUUGUCCUUUAUACUCCUGAGUGUUCCUUUAAUCUUCUCUCCAUCAACAAAAUCAUUCGUACUCUUAACAGCUCUAUUACUUUUUCUAAUAAAUUUGUGACCUUGCAGGACCGAAGUACGGGGAAGAGAUUGGCAUAGGACGUGAGUCUCAAGGCCUCUAUCACCUCACCUCGCCUUCAACUCUUGCAGUUUGCAUUUCCACUGAUGUUCCCCUCCUCAUCCACAGUUGCCUGGGCCACCCUAAUCUAUCCAAGUUCUAGAAGAUGGUCCCUCGUUUUUCAUCUUUUUCGUCGCUUGCAUGUGAGUCCUGUCAGCUUGGGAAACAUACUCGUGUCUCGUUCCCAAAGCGUUUGAAUAAUCGGGCAAAGUCUCCUUUUGAACUUGUCCACACUGAUGUUUGGGGUCCUUGUCGAACCGCGUCUACUUUAGGAUUUCAGUAUUUUGUCACUUUCAUUGAUGAUCAUUCUUGAUGUACUUGGUUAUUUUUAAUGAAAAAUCGAGCCGAAUUAUUCUUUAUUUUCCAAAAAUUUUAUGCUGAAAUCCAAACCCAGUUCAAUAUUUCUAUUCAUGUGUUACACAGUGACAAUGUCAAGGAAUAUUUUUCUGCACCAUUUACUUCAUUUAUGUCCCAACAUGGGAUCCUUCAUCAGUCUUCUUAUACUCAUACUCCUCAACAAAAUGGGGUAGUUGAACAUAAGAAUCGACAUCUUGUUGAGACAGCUCGUACUCUCCUUCUCCAUAGUAAUGUUCCUUUUCGUUUUUGGGGGGACGCUGUUCUUACAGCAUGUUAUUUGAUAAAUCAUAUGCCUUCAUUUGUAUUACACGAUCAGAUUCCUCAUUCCCUUCUUUUCCCUGACCAACCACUUUAUUUUCUUCCUCCUCGUGUUUUUUGUUGUACUUGUUUUGUUCAUAUUCUCACUCCUGGAUAGGAAAAACUUUCUGCCAGAGCCAUAAAAUGCAUCUUCUUGGGAUACUCCAGACUUCAAAAGGGUUAUCGUUGUUAUUCCUCUGAGACUCAUCGCUACUUUCUCUCCGCUGAUGUCACCUUCUUUGAGGACUCACCAUUCUUCUCCACCUCUGAGUCUCUUCCUAUUUCUAAAGUCUUACCCCUUCCCAUUAUCUCCCCACCUGUUGCAGUACCUUCUCGCCCACUUCAGGUUUAUCAUCACCAUCAUCGUGUCGUUGUUCCUCCUUCUUUGGCCGAGGUACCUGCUGACUCACUUCCUAUCCCUUCGGCUUCUCCUACCCCAGCUCUGCCUCCUUCUGUUGAUUUACCCAUUGCUCUUCGGAAAGGUAAUCGAUCUACUCGUAAUCCUCAUCCCAUUUACAAUUUUUUGAGUUACCAUCGAUUAUCUUCACCCUAUUCUGCAUUUCUUUCUGCUAUAUCUUUUGUUUCUCUUCCCAAAAGCACCCCCGAGGCUCUUUCCCAUCCAGGCUGGAGACAGGCAAUGGUAGAUGAAAUAGCUGCUUUACACUCCAAUGGCACUUGGGAUCUUGUUGUUUUACCCUCUAGUAAAUCUACAGUUGGUUGUCGUUGGGUCUACACAAUUAAGGUUGGCCCUGAUGGUCAGGUUGAUCGCCUUAAGGCCCGCUUAGUUGCUAAAGGCUAUACUCAAGUUUAUGGUUUUGAUUAUGGUGACACUUUCUCUCCUGUUGCCAAGAUUGCUUCAGUUCGUCUAUUGCUCUCCAUGGCUACUAUGCGUUCUUGGCCUCUAUAUCAGUUAGAUAUUAAAAAUGUUUUCCUUCAUGGGGAUCUUGCUGAGGAAGUUUAUAUGAAGCAACCACCUGGUUUUGUUGCUCAGGGGGAGUCUGGUUUAAUGUGCAAGUUACGUUGUUCUUUAUAUGGCUUGAAACAAUUUCCUCGAGCAUGGUUUAGCCGUUUUAGUUCUGUUGUUCAGGAGUUUGACAUGUUUCGCAAUACAACAGACCAUUCAGUUUUCUAUCAUCAUAACUCUUCGGGGCAGUGUAUUUAUCUGAUAGUUUAUGUGGACGACAUCGUCAUUACAGGCAGUAAUCAGAAUGGUAUUCAGAAACUAAAGUAACACCUUUUCACCCACUUUCAUACUAAAGACUUGGGGAAACUCAAGUAUUUCUUACGGAUUGAGAUAGCUCAAUCCAGUUCCGGUGUGGUUCUUUCCCAAAGGAAGUAUGCUUUAGACAUUUUGGAAGAAACCGAUAUGUUAGGCUGUAAACUGGUAGACACUCCUAUGGAUCCAAAUGUCAAACUUAUACCAAGACAGAGGAAGCCUUUAGGAGAUCCUGGGACAUAUCAGCGACUUGUAGGUAAACUGAACUAGCUCACCAUUACUCGCCCAGACAUUUCUUUUUCUGUAAGUGUUGUUAGUCAAUUCCUACAGUCACCAUGUGAUAGCCAUUGGGAUGUUGUAAUUCGCAUUCUUCGAUAUAUCAAAAGCACACCAGGCCAAGGUGUGUUGUACGAGAACUGAGGUUAUACCCAGGUUGUUGGUUACACAGAUGCAGAUUGGGCAGGCUCACCCACAGAUAGACGUUCCACUUCCGGGUAUUGUGUUUUUAUUGGAGGUAACCUAAUAUCCUGGAAGAGUAAGAAACAAGAUGUAGUGAUCAAAUCUAGUGUUGAAGCCGAGUAUCGAGCUAUGGCUCUGGCAACAUGUGAACUCAUAUAGCUGAAACAUCUUCUUCGGGAGUUGAGAUUUGGAAAGGAUGAACAGAUGAAGCUCGUCUGUGACAACCAAGCUGCUUUACAUAUUGCAUCCAAUCAAAUCUUCCAUGAAAGGACCAAACACAUUGAAGUUGACUGUCACUUCAUUAGAGAGAAGAUCGCAUCAGGAUGUGUGGCAACUAGUUUUGUCAAUUCAAAUGAUCAACUAGCAAAUAUUUUUACUAAAUCUCUCAAAGGUCCUAGAAUUAAAUACAUUUGUAACAAGCUUGGUGCAUAUAACAUAUAUGUUCCAGCUUGAGGGGAAGUGUUAGAUAGUGUACAGUUAUUUCAGUUAUUUACUUUUCCUUUUUUUUCCUUAUUGUAUUGUGGGUCCCACUAGCAUGUAUAUAUAUACUCAAGUCCAAUGUGUAUUAUUAAUAGUUUUUAAUAACAAAAAUUAGGGAUUCUCUCUUUUCUCUCUUUUCAAAAAACACAAUAAUAGAUUUUCCACCUCACCCAUCUCUCAAUCAUGAAAAGGCCUAGAGAAACAAGGGCUCCAACUCCUCCUCCCCCCCAAUCCUUUUCCUCACUUUCUGAAGCAGUCCAAACAUCUUCCACCAAAGCCUCUUUCGACGUAGCUAUGGCAAAUAAGGUAAGAAAAGAAACGCAUAAAAGGUGCAGCUCCACACCACUUAUCCUUCCAAAAAAUCACUUUCUGCCCAUUUCCCACCAUAAAAGAAAAUCUAGAGCUAACAAGGUGCCCCAACUUCUUAAUUGCUUUCCACAGGCCCACACCAUACCCUUCCCUUACUUCUUGAGAACACUAACCUUCACAUUCCCAUAUUUCUCCCUUAUUACUUGAUUCCAAAAAGUCUCUUUUUCAUUUGCAUAGCACCAACUCCAUUUGCGAAGGAGAGCCUUAUCGAGCAUGGCAAGGUUUUUCACCCCCAAGCCCCCUUUUCUCUUGUCUAGACAAACCGUCAACCAUCUUACCAAAUGAGAUUUUUUCUCCAAGGCCCUACCUCCUCACAGAAAAUCCCUCUUAAUCUACUUCAAUCUCAUUCUAACCAUUCUAGGCAAAUGGAGGAUAGACAUAAAAUAAAUUGGCAAACUAGAUAACGUGCUUCGUAUCAAGGUGAUUUUCCCACCCUUUGAGAUAUAUUGGCGCUUCCUCAUAGCCAAUAUUUUACGGAACCUUUCCUUAAUUCCGUCUCAAGCUGCCACAGAAUUAAAACAAGUACCCAGCGGCAUCCCCAACUAAGUAGACAGCAAGCUUCCCACCUUACAACCGAGCUCUACAGCCAAGUCUUACACAUUCUUCACCCUUCCCACCGGAAUUAGCUCACUUUUAUCCAUAUUAACUCUCAAACCAGAGAUUGCCUCAAACCACAUCAGCAACCACCUUAAAAACAUCAUCUACUUCUCCCGCGCCUCAUAGAAAAUCAACGUAUCAUCUGCAAAUAACAGAUGGGAGACCUUAACCCUUUCACGCCCUCUACCCCGCACUUGGCAGGUUGAUAAGAAGCCUCCACAAACUGCCCUCCUUAGAAGACAGCUAAGAGCUUCCAUUGGUAUCACAAAUAGGUAAGGCGACAAUGGAUCUCCUUGCCUUAGGCCCCUAGAGCUUUGAAAGAAACUGGAAGAGGUUCCAUUAACCAAAAUAGAAAAGCUAGCUAUGGUUAAACACCAUUUGAUCCACCUUAACCACUUCUCCCCAAACCCCAUCUUCUCCAUAACUGAUAGUAGAAAAGACCACUCAACAUGGUCAUAAACUUUCUCAAUGUCCACUUUGCACAAAAUCGCCCCCUCAUUGCUCUUCAAAAUCGAGUNNNNNNNNNNNNNNNNNNNNNNNNNNNNNNNNNNNNNNNNNNNNNNNNNNNNNNNNNNNNNNNNNNNNNNNNNNNNNNNNNNNNNNNNNNNNNNNNNNNNCCUUAGAAAUCACUUUAGGCAAGACCCUCUUCAGCCUGUUGGCCAGCACCUUAGCUAACCACUUGUACAGGCCCCCCCCCCCCCCCCCCCACCAAACUUAUUAGCCUGAAAUCCCUUGAGUCAUCUGCCCCCCCUUUCUUCGGGAUCAACACUAGAAAGGUUGAAUUCAAACUUCGCACAAAACAACCAAAAUCAUAGAAAUCCUUGAAAAAAUUCAUCACCUCAAACUUCACGAAAUCCCAUGAGGACUACCAAAAUGCCAUGGAGAACCCAUCUAGGACUGGAGCUUUGUCCCUGCAAAAACCCGACAGAACCUUAAACACCUCCUCCUCUAUAAAAGGCUUUUCUAACCCUGUUAUCUUAGAGUCUUCCAAUCUCUCAAAAGACAACUCACUUAGGUUGGGCCUCCAGUCAUCAUUUGUAAAGAGUAAGAGUUGGAAAGCUCUACCCAUUGCCACUCUUAAAUCUUUGUCCUGGGUGACCCACACCCCAUCAAUUUUGACUCGAGCCAUCUGGUCUCUCCUUCUAUGGGCAUUGGCCAUUCUAUGAAAGAACCUCAUGUUUCUAUCCCUCUCCUUAAACCAGAUUUCCCUUGAUUUUUGUUUCCAUGACGUUUCUUCCAAAGGAACCCAUUUUUUAUAAAUCUCUCUAGCUUCCAUCCUAGAUUCUUGCUCUUCCAGCGACAAAGGGAAAACACUCUCCUUAUCCCAAAAAUCCACUUGGUUUAGAGCUAACUCCUUUCAAACCUCAUACAAACCAAAAACUUCCUUGUUCCAACGUUUCAAGAGAGGUUUCAAAGCUUUCAACUUCUCAGCUAGGAUGAAACUAGCAGACCCAAAGAAAUUAAGCCCUUCCCACCACGUCCUCAGGACAUCCUUAAAGCCCUCCUCCUUCAACCACAUGUUUUCAAAUCUAAAAGGAGUGGGGCCUCUCCUCACCCCCUCCCCCAUCUAGAAGGACCGGGAAAUGAUCUGAAAGUGGCCUAACAAAAACAAUCUGAACAACCCUCGAAAAGUGGUCUUCCCAUUCCUCAAAGAUGAGGAAUCGAUCAAUUCUCCAUUAGGAUUGGCUAUUUAAGCCUCCGCUUCAAGUGAAAAGGCCUCCCUGAAGGGGCAAAUCCCUCAAUUCUAAAUCCUCAAUCACCUUUGAAAAUCACUUCAUGGUUGGUGACAAUAUGCCUCCUCUACUAUGCUCAUAAGGGAAUCUAAUCAUGUUAAAAUCUCCUACCAUGCACCAAGGGCCACUCCACAUACCUCUAACUGCCCCCAGCUCACUCCAAAAAACCUCCCUAUCCAUCUUCAGCAUGGGUCCAUAACCUUUGUAAAGCUCCAACAAAAUCCAUCCUCACAAUUCUUGAAACAACAAGACACUGAGAACAACCCCACCUACAUCUCCAACAAUUAUAACACUCUGUUGUCCCAGAACACCACAACCCCCGCCACUCCCCUCAAGUCCCCAAUCUAAACACCUACCUACCCCCAAACUACAUACAACCCCCCACAGUCAUUUCUUGCAUUUUGGUUUCUUGCAAACAAACUAAAUCCACCUACUAAGAUUUAAUAAAAGCCUUUUAUCAUCUUUCUCUUAUCUCCCUCAUUUGCCCCUCCAACAUUCCACGACAAGAUUCGAAACUUCAUCUAACACAAAUUAAUUCCCCCACGAUCCCCUCAUGUCCGACCAUAAUUCACCAAGCACUCCAACUUCUUCAACUCCCGAUCAGAUCUUGAAGGUUUUUGUUAUUUCCUCUUUUUCCCGAUCAAAUUCUCAAAUUGUUCUCUUUUCUCAUUCAUUCUCUUGAGAAGCUUUAAAAUUUCCCCCUCAAAACCCUCAGUUGGCAUUCCCAAACACUGACAUAAUGGCACUAAACAACUGUAUUUCCAAGACUCCCCUCCCUCUCUCUCUUCCUUUACUAACUCAACUCCCACCUUCUUUGUCGGGGAAGAAUCUCCACCUUCUAGUCCAUUCCCCCCCUCUUCCACCAAAAUCACCUGCAAUGGAUCUACCAUCAACUCCCCUUCCCUUGCCACCAAAUCACCAUCCACGCCCAAACUCUACCCUACCACAACCAUCGCCCCUUCCAACCCAGAGACCAAAGAAGAAGAAGAAGAAGAAGAAGAAGAAGAAGAAGAAGAGACCCAUCCCCUCAUAGAUGAAAAUCCUUCCACUAGAUUUCCCUAAUAGGAGAUGAUCAGUCAUUGGCCCUGUAAACCUCACUUACUAAGAAAAGGACUAAGAAAAUCCAACAUUAGAAUGUCUCGACACCAUUGAAGUAGUCAACACCCUUGCUUGUUGCGUGAAAAUUUGUUGUAUCUAUGCAUAUGAUGAAUGCAAAAGCCAUGCCAACCACAAAUAAAGUCAUCUACCAUGCAAGUUAUUCCUAAAUCAUUCCCACAGUAAUAACAUAGGCUAUAACGGCAAUUGUUAGCUGUUUCUUGUGAGAGAGUGACCAAAUCCCAACAGCUUAAGGUUUUGGGAAAGUUGGUAGCUAAACAUGGUACCAAAGUUGGAGGUCUUGGGUUUGAGCCUCUCUUAUUACCUUUCUCCACCUAUUUAUCUACUAUUACUACUGCCUAUUUAUCUACCACUACCACUACCUCUACCACUACUGGUUUGUUUUUCUCCACACAAUUGGGUAUGAAGCCAACACAUGAGGAAGGCUGAGGGAUGCCCUGCUUNNNNNNNNNNNNNNNNNNNNNNNNNNNNNNNNNNNNNNNNNNNNNNNNNNNNNNNNNNNNNNNNNNNNNNNNNNNNNNNNNNNNNNNNNNNNNNNNNNNCCACACGUCCAAAUCCAAAUAGCUUAAACUUUUAAGAAAGUUUGUAACUUGACAACAAUGAUGAAAGUUGGUAGCUUAACAACAAUGAUGCUUAGCAUGAUGACAACAAUAAUGUCAUUCAACCCUUGGCUAUCUCCAGCUUAAUGUCACAGGAUGCUUCAAAUGACCCUCCCCAUGGGCUUAUAUAGAGCCCAGAAAGCUUCUGGAGACUCCUAGAGCCAUCUACACUAAGCCAUUCGUGGAAAGAGUGUGGAAGGUUCUAGAGAUGCCUAGAGAUGUCCACACAUCUCUACAUUAUGGUGGAAGACAUGAGAAGAGUCCAAGGCUUUCUAGAGAAUUCUAGGAAUCUCUUGUAUAUUCUUGCACAUAGGUUUGUACAUAGAAUUAUUUAGGGUAUUCUAGAAUCUUCUUGAUUUGUAAGGAACCCUCCAAGGUUCCAGAGAGUUCCAAUGGUGCUUAUAAAUAGGUGAGGGCCUCAUUUGGCCAAGGCACCACCCAAGAACCUAACCAACCAACUAAGUGAGCUUCCAAGCAUUGUAUAGCUUUCUUUGAAAGCAAUAAAGCUUCCAUUCCCUAAGAGUCGCCUACUACACCUUCUAAAACUUCCGAGUUGCAAGCAUCUUAGCCUAGCAAGUUAAGCAUUGGGAGUAAGGCUAACUUAGCAAGAUCAAGUGUCGUGACUUGUCUAAGUGCCGCGACUUGUCUAAGUGCCGCAUGAGCUUAGGAAGAGACUAAGUCCGUGACAUUAAGCAAGCUUACUAGAGUCAAGAAAUAUGUUCAUCUCAUAACUGUUAAAUGUUUCUUCAAUAUUUUUCUUCCUGUUCCCAUUGUAUAUAAUUCCUAAGUCAUUUUCAGGCUAUAUAGAUGGCAGUUAAUGCUAUUAUGCAACUAGGAGAACGACAUGUUCUGUUGAAUGGGAACUGGACAAGUUAUUCAUUCUCAAAUAAGGACUUGAUUUAGAAUUAUAAAAGGGUCUAAAACAUUUAUCAGUUCCAUAGUUAGAACUCUUGACAUGCUGAACUGUCUAAGCAUUAAGAUGCUCGCUCAGAUAUUUUGUUGCAGCUAUUAUCAGAUAGAGGCCUUGAAACUUGAGGUUAACAUGCUGAACUGUCUAGGCAUUAAGAUACUCCCUCAGACAUUUUGUCGCAGCUCUUAUCAGAGAGAGGCCUUGAAACUCGAGGUUGACAUGCUGAACUGUCUAAGCAUUAAGAUGCUCCUUCAGAUGUUUUGUCGCAGCUCCUAUCAGAGAGAGGCAUUGAAACUCAAGGGCUAAUCUAAUUUGAGUGAUUGCUUUGGAUUAAAAUAUUUUCUUAGGUUCAGAAGUUUGCAUUUUAGAACCAAUUUCCCUCAUGUGAAACAAAAUCAGAAUUCAUAAUCAUUCCCUAAAGAAGACAUAACCAAUCAAAGAAUUAAAAAAACAAUUAAUUAUCAGUAGAGGAUGUCUGUUAAAAAAAGUGGGGGUGAUGGUUUGAAUGGAUCUCCAUCUUGGAUACAGGCACAUCCACAGACAUUAAUGUAUAUAGUUGACCAAUAUAUACUUUUCAAAACAUAAUGGAAGUUCCAACAUCAUUGAAGGGUGCCACAUAAUUAUGCCAGCAGGAAAAGUUCCUUCAUGUCUUCAUGCUGGCUUAGUUUUCUAUUCUGAUAAAUCCACAAAUUACAUGGAAAUGAAAAACACCACAGGAUUUUCAAAAUAAGUGGAAACAAGAAUUUUCAUUUCUAGUAAACUUGAACAUAGUAUCUAAUUGAAAAUUUGCUACUGCAAGAAGAUCAAUUAAUAGAACAAAAGCUUACCUUUCCAAUAACAGCUUCUGCAUUAACUUCAGAUACAACAUGGUCAUUUGCACGGAUGAUCCAGUGCCUCCAAUUCAGUUGGCAGGAGCCAAAGGAUAUUCCAUUGACAAUGCAUCCCUCAGGCAGGAGGCGCAUACGGAUUGAAUAAGCAAACACAUACUUAUGAGAUUUAUCUCGAAGGUUACAACCCUCCGGAAUGAAUACAGCAGAAGCACGAACCUAAAAUCGGGUGCCAUUGUCAAUUUUCAUAUAGCAAAGGAAAGACAACAGUGGUUGUAGUAGGAAUAGGAAACAAAGAACUCCCAAAAGUUGACAUAAAAACACCCUUCCAUCUUUGCAUCUUUGCUAGAGAGCUUACUUGAUAAUGUAUGUCAACUAUAAGGAGUGAUAAGAUUUUGCCUACCGAUGAUUUCAAUACACCUCAGACUAUAUAACCUGACCCAGCAUCCUUUAUUAUAACCAGCCAAGUGUAGAAUCAAAUCUCACUUAGGUCCUUUCACCCAAUUUAGCAUGUGAUUUCCUCUUGAUGGUGUGGUUGCGUGUAGAAUUGCCGAGAGAGACAGACAGACAGAUAGACACAGAGAGAGAGAGAGAGAGAGAGAGAGGAUACCAUUUUCAUGAAACCCACUCCUGCACCCCAAGCCAAGAAAAGAACUAAAGAAAAACAAAACCUAAAGAAAAAAAAUAUUGGACAAGUGAGUACCAGAGAAAGAGAGAGAGAAGAUGGCAUUUCCGUGGAAACAUAAUCCCACACCCCAAGCCAAGAAAAGAACUCAAGAAGAACAAAAGAAAACAAAGAGAAACAAUAUUGGACAAGUAAGUACCUGAGAGAGAGAGAGAGAAAUAGAGAAAAAGAAGAUGGCAUUUCCGUGAAACGUACUCCCACACCCCAAGCCAAGAGAAGAACUCAAGAAAAAACAAAACCUGACAAGAAAAAAUAUUGGAUAAGCGGGUACCUGAAUACCAUUGGUUACUGCAGUGGAACAGAGAGGAGGUUCUUCUGGGAACAAGUUGAUACUUCUGAUCAUUCCUUCCUUACGGAGUUUAAUAAUGCCAUUUUGUAAGCGACGAACAUGUUCUUCUAACCAUAGCAGCAUCGCAUCCUGCUGUUGACCAGUGUUCAUGUCAUGCAUCGGACUUAUCAGUGCAUUUGGUACACAAGGAAUCAUUUCUCCAGCUGAUACAAGACUCCUGGUACCAACAUAAAGUUGACCAGUGGUACAAUUGAGGAAAAAAAACUUUCCAAUGUAUGUGGAAGAAGCAGCCACAAUAACAUACUUAGAUGUUGUGGAAAAACCUAGCUGGUCUGUAAUCUCCUUUGUUUCCAAGAUUACCUGACGCAGAGGUAAUAAGCACACAUUUACAAGGUGGUCAUUACAGCAGUAACCUCCCAUGAUGCCCAAUGAACCACCAAGAGCGGUUCCUCCAACAUCUUCUUCCGUUAGCUCUUGACCAUCACAGAAGCGAUAGAGAAGCCUUGUUGGAAGAGGCAAUUUCACUUUCAAAAUGUUCUCCAACGCUUCAAUUUCAACUUCUGUUGCACCUUUUCGUAGUGUAGCAUCAGCGUCCGGGAAAUUU
RNAcentral lists this long non-coding RNA (23458 nucleotides) under Vitis vinifera (wine grape). RNAcentral's name for it is "long non-coding RNA (VVIN_LNC001622)". The record is from RNAcentral. Lineage: Eukaryota; Viridiplantae; Streptophyta; Magnoliopsida; Vitales; Vitaceae.